CAGCAGUGGGGAAUUUUGGACAAUGGGCGAAAGCCUGAUCCAGCAAUGCCGCGUGUGUGAAGAAGGUCUUCGGAUUGUAAAGCACUUUCGACGGGGACGAUGAUGACGGUACCCGUAGAAGAAGCCCCGGCUAACUUCGUG
This 141-nucleotide ribosomal RNA is filed under the name uncultured bacterium. RNAcentral describes it as "partial 16S ribosomal RNA". It matches the Rfam family "Bacterial small subunit ribosomal RNA", at positions 349 to 507 of the family's 1533-position model. The record is from RNAcentral.